UACAGAGGUCCCGAGCGUUGUUCGGAUUCACUGGGCGUAAAGGGUGCGUAGGUGGUGAGGUAAGUCGGAUGUGAAAUCUCCGAGCUCAACUCGGAAAUGGCAUUGGAAACUACCUUGCUAGAGGGUUGGAGGGGGGACUGGAAUGCUUGGUGUAGCAGUGAAAUGCGUAGAUAUCAAGCGGAACACCAGUGGCGAAGGCGAGUCCCUGGACAACUCCUGACACUGAGGCACGAAAGCUAGGGGAGCAAACAGG
Molecule: ribosomal RNA, 253 nt
Filed under: uncultured bacterium
Lineage: Bacteria
Description: partial 16S ribosomal RNA
Rfam family: Bacterial small subunit ribosomal RNA
Source: RNAcentral